AAGCCUGAUCCAGCAAUGCCGCGUGAGUGAAGAAGGCCUUCGGGUUGUAAAGCUCUUUUGUCAGGGAAGAAACGGUGAGGGCUAAUAUCCCUUGCUAAUGACGGUACCUGAAGAAUAAGCACCGGCUAACUACGUGCCAGCAGCCGCGGUAAUACGUAGGGUGCAAGCGUUAAUCGGAAUUACUGGGCGUAAAGCGUGCGCAGGCGGUUUUGUAAGUCUGUCGUGAAAUCCCCGGGCUCAACCUGGGAAUUGCGAUGGAGACUGCAAGGCUAGAAUCUGGCAGAGGGGGGUAGAAUUCCACGUGUAGCAGUGAAAUGCGUAGAGAUGUGGAGGAACACCGAUGGCGAAGGCAGCCCCCUGGGUCAAGAUUGACGCUCAUGCACGAAAGCGUGGGGAGCAAACAGGAUUAGAUACCCUGGUAGUCCACGCCCUAAACGAUGUCUACUAGUUGUCGGGUUUUAAUUAACUUGGUAACGCACCUAACGCGUGAAGUAGACCGCCUGGGGAGUACGGUCGCAAGAUUAAA
RNAcentral lists this ribosomal RNA (526 nucleotides) under uncultured Massilia sp. Its description in RNAcentral is "bacterial SSU rRNA". It matches the Rfam family "Bacterial small subunit ribosomal RNA", at positions 379 to 898 of the family's 1533-position model. Lineage: Bacteria; Pseudomonadati; Pseudomonadota; Betaproteobacteria; Burkholderiales; Oxalobacteraceae. The record is from RNAcentral.